Molecule: long non-coding RNA, 1419 nt
Filed under: Mus musculus (house mouse)
Lineage: Eukaryota; Metazoa; Chordata; Mammalia; Rodentia; Muridae
Description: predicted gene 27198, transcript variant 2 (Gm27198)
Source: RNAcentral
AUUCUUUGGAAACUCUGGACCCUGGCCUGGCCUCUGGACAGCAAGCCAACAUGACUUGGUGGCCAUGAACUGUAGCAAAUAUAGCCAGUGGUCUGCACUUGACUGCAGAGGUUGGUCCGGAGUAUCUCUUUAGAGCUGUGGUCAUUGCUCCAAGGAAGCGCUUCCUCUGUUACUGGAGAAGAGCAAAAUAACAGCACAGACUGGAAAGGGAUACGCCAUCAAGAUCAAAAGAGGGACCUGCAAGGCAGAGGACUCGAGGUGCCAAUUGUCGUUUGUGCCUGCUUGCAUACAAGGUUCAGAAGAAGUGGCUAAGUAUCGGGGCAGAGUCUGGCAAGUUCUCCACUUCGAUAGGAAUGUGGUGGCCACACAGAAGGAUUCGGGUGACCCCAAGACUGUCUCUGCAUUGUGGGAAAUUUCCACCCUCAUGUGCGUGAACACUUUGCCGCAGACCCCUUCCUUCAGUUAACAGUCUGUCUUCUAUGUGUUCUGGCAGCCAUGGAAGAUGAGACACCAUCUUGACAGCCUUGCCCACGUGUGACCAGUGCAGCCUGGGACCCCAUGGUUAGAGCGGCCUUGAGACUUGCUUAAUGAGCGGCUGCCAUCACCUGAGAAGUCUUCAUAAAUUUUAAACAGAUGGUGUCCACUUGGCCUGGAAUGGCUUGGACAGAAGGGCUGAGAAGAGCUGCCCCCUAUCAGUUCGUGGCGUUUCUUCAGGAGACCCUGGUGCUGCGCCUGCCUGCUUCCAGUAGAGCAAGGAGGAUCCACUCCCCUGUCCUAGCAAGAGAGUAGUUCUGGUGGCACAAGACAAGUGUGGUUUUCCUUUGGACUGUGAAAUGGGAGAUAAUUCUGCCAGCGGUUUACUUACAACUACUUAAAUAUCGGACCCACAAUUUUUAGUAUAAGUAGGAUUUGGCAUAUUCUUUCCAAAUAUGUCAGUGAUCUUUUCCAAAUCACUAACAAGAUGUCUCAGUACCAUUUACGGAGUAAUAGAUCCAUUCUUUGUUACUUUGAAUUUCUGCCAUGAGGCUCCUUAUAUUGUUGUCUAAAAUUGGAGUAUAUUGUGUUUCAUCGCUCUUUAUGUGCCUGAGUAUUUUUUUUUAAGUACAGCUCGUUGUAUUUCUCCUCUGAAUUGUCAACUUGAUUUUCUGCAGUGAGGAUGCUUGGGACGGUGUCUGGGGACGCGUGUAUCCUGGGCACCACUAAGCUAUGUCCUGCACUGGCACCUUACACCAUUUCAUUUCCAUAGUCCCUGCUCUGCCUUAUCUUUAUGUCUUUGAAAUUCGUGCAACUUUUGGUCCACAUGAAGCGUAUAUGAUAGAGUGAGGAUUACUAUUCUCUCAAGUUUUAUCCCAGUAUUUAGCAAUUUUAUCUUUGUGAACUAGUAAGGAUUAUUUAAAAUUAAAAAAAAUAAUACAUAUG